Molecule: ribosomal RNA, 440 nt
Filed under: uncultured bacterium
Lineage: Bacteria
Description: partial 16S ribosomal RNA
Rfam family: Bacterial small subunit ribosomal RNA
Source: RNAcentral
CCUACGGGUGGCAGCAGUGGGGAAUAUUGCACAAUGGGGGGAACCCUGAUGCAGCGACGCCGCGUGGGUGAGGAAGGACUUCGGUAUGUAAAGCCCUAUCAGCAGGGAAGAAAAUGACGGUACCUGACUAAGAAGCCCCGGCUAACUACGUGCCAGCAGCCGCGGUAAUACUUAGGGGGCAAGCGUUAUCCGGAUUUACUGGGUGGAAAUGGAGCGUAGACGGGGUGCCAAGUUUGAUGUGAAAGGUCGGGGCUCAACCCCGGGACUGCAUUGGAAACUGGCGUGCUGGAGUGCCUGAGGGGCAAGCGGAAUGCGUGGUGUAGCGGUGAAAUGCGUAGAUAUUAGGAGGAACGCCGGUGGCGAAGGCGGCUUGCUGGACGGUAACUGACGCUGAGGCUCGAAAGCGUGGGGAGCGAACAGGAUUAGAUACCCCUGUAGUC